Long non-coding RNA from Brassica oleracea var. oleracea, 880 nucleotides. RefSeq lists it as uncharacterized. The transcript has 2 exons. The record is from RefSeq and is a predicted model, not a curated record. NCBI's taxonomy places the organism in Eukaryota, Viridiplantae, Streptophyta, Magnoliopsida, Brassicales, Brassicaceae.
AUUAACAAAAUUACCCGAAUAUUUUUAUCCAUAAAUUUAAAAUUAUCUAAAUUAUUUGAUAUUUUUAUUCAAACCGUCCGAUAUUUAAAGCUGGUAUAAUUAUUUAUUUAUUUGUAAACAUAGUUAUUGAUACUAUGAAUAUAAAUGCUAUUAAUUGUUAUUGAUAAUGUAUAUACAGAAUGGUAUCAGGCAUGCGAAAAUCAAAACAUCUAAUAGAUGAAUUGGUUGCUGUCAAUGAUUGUAGUCGAAUACUUUUUCCACUCAAAGUAAUGCAUCCCGAAAUGAUAGAAAGUAAAGAGAAGAGGAGCCACCGCAAAAAGUAUGAACGGCGUCGAGAGCUCAGAUGUGAGAGAAUAAUUAACGUCGUAGAGGACCCAGAACCAGAGAAUAACUGACCAGCCAUGAAGCAUCGAACACGCUCCUCCACACCAUAGCCACACCUCAGCACCUCGGAGAAGAAGGGGUAGCCUCCGAAACCACCGAUGAAGCAAUCCCGUCAAAUCAAGACCAAAGCUAACAAACUCGAAGAAGAGAAGGUCAGCGAAAUCUCCACCGCAGGGGGAGACCUCAAACAAGAUCCGAAAUUUCUCUCUUUCUUUCUCCCUAACUUUCUCUCUCAGACGGAAGAGACCUCAAACCAGAUCUGUAACGUUAACUCCUUUUUUCUGUAAUUUGUAAGUUAUUAAAUUGGUCUAAUAAAGCAUGGGAGAAGAUAAUUUAUCGGUAAGUUUCCUAGUUUAUGUUUAAGAAUUGUAUGUUUUAUGUAGAAUAUUAGUUCUAUAAUAUGAUUAGUAGGAGAAAGAUACUUCAAAACUCUGUUGAUUAUAAGAGUAGAUUAGCUAAGCCGGAUGGCCAUUCAUAAUAACAUGAGAUUUUGAUA